RNAcentral lists this ribosomal RNA (950 nucleotides) under Sediminibacillus halophilus. RNAcentral's name for it is "partial 16S ribosomal RNA". It matches the Rfam family "Bacterial small subunit ribosomal RNA", at positions 72 to 987 of the family's 1533-position model. Lineage: Bacteria; Bacillati; Bacillota; Bacilli; Caryophanales; Bacillaceae. The record is from RNAcentral.
CCUUCGGGGUGUGGAGCUGGGGGACCAAGCGGCGGACGGGUGAUUACCACGGGGGCAACCGGCCGGUAGAACGGGAAUAACCCCGGGAAACCGGGGCUAAUACCGAAUAACACUUUUCUCUGCAGGGAAAAAAUUUGAAAGGCGGCCUUUUGGCUGUCACUUACAAAUGGGCCCCCGGCCCAUUACCUAUUUGGGGGGGUAACGGCCUACCAAGGCAACAAUCCUUACCCAACCUGAAAGGGUGAUCGGCCACCCGGGAACGGAAACCCGGCCCAAACCCCUACGGAAGGCACCAUUAGGGAAUCUUCCGCAUGGGACAAAAGUCGGACGAACCACCGCCCCGGGAACAAUGAAGGUCUUCGAAUCGUAAAGUUCUGUUGUUAGGAAAAAACAAUUACCGUUCAAAUAGGGCGGUACCUUGACGGUACCUAACAAGAAACCCCCGGCUAACUACUUGCCACCACCCCCGGUAAUACUUAGGGGGCAACCGUUGUCCGGAAUUAUGGGGCGUAAACCGCGCCCAGGCGGUUCCUUAAUUCUAAUGUGAAACCCCACGGCUUACCCGUGAAGGGUCAUUGAAAACUGGGAAACUUAAUUACAAAAAAGAAAACCGAAAUUCCACUUGUACCGUUGAAAUGCGUAAAUAUGUGAAGGAACACCAUUGGCAAAGGCGGUUCUCUGGUCUGUAACUGACGCUAAGGCCCAAAACCGUGGGGAAGCGAACAGGAUUAAAUACCCUGGUAGUCCACGCCGUAAACAAUGAGUGCUAGGUGUUUAGGGGGUUUCCCCCCCUUAGUGCUGAAGUUAACGCAUUAAGCCACUCCGCCUGGGGAAGUACGGCCGGCAAGGCUGAAAACUCAAAAGAAAUUGACGGGGGCCCGCCACAAGCGGUGGAACCAGGUGGUUUUAAUUCGAAGCAACCCCGAAAAACCUUAACAAGGUCUUGGACA